UGACAUUUUGCUUUUGGGUGGGGAAAUGAUCUUCACAUCCUACAAAGCUCAAGGUCUUUCAGUGGGAUUGUCAUUGGUAGAGGAGGACAAGUCAUAUGUUGCAACAUCACUUCUUGAGGAGGCCAAGGCCAAAGGAGUUAGCCUGUUGCUGCCUAGUGAUGAUGUUUGUUGUAGGCAAGUUUGCCCUUGAUGCCAACUGCCAGAUGCUUUGGUCUUCGUGCAUUUUUGGCCCAAAUAGUGAGUCGAAAAGCUGAAAGUUUGUGUUUAUUAUCAUAAGUCGUGCCGGCAUCUGCUAUUCCAGAUGGCUGGAUGAGACGGGAUAUUGGACUGGACUCUCUCAAAAGAUUCAGUGAGGUCUUGGAGACUACAAAAACUGUAAUAUUGGAUGGAGGCCUUUGAAUUUGUCAUCAGAACCGAGGCUUGUAAGCUUGGAUAUGGAAUUUGGUUUCAUAUUUUUCAUGAAUGCGUCGGAUAAGAUUAGCCCUUGGGUUGGGGGGUUGGGGAAAGAAGGCAAGAUGGAAGCACUCUGGUUGGAUUGUCUAUUACGAGGUCAAAUGAGAUCAAGAUACUUUUGUUAUACGAAGAAUUGCUAACGGAGAAAGGCGUUGCAACUGUACUAUGUUGCAGGGUUGCGUGUUUUGCGAUUGGGCCUGCACCUUUCUUGAGGAAUACUUGACACGUAAUACCGUUAUUGUAACCUGCAUUAACUAUUAUAAUAACGUGUUUUUUCUCUCUUUUUUUUCCCUUGUUUUGGUGUUGGGGAAGGAGGAGAGGAGGAGGAGGAGGGGGGUUGGUUAACGAAAGGAAGAUUAUGUUGUCGAUAGAAAUGCAAAUAUUUUUUGCAGGCCACUGAAAAGCAAGCAAGCAGACCUGAGCGCAAGGGACUCAAACAUCACUG
Molecule: non-coding RNA, 898 nt
Organism: Coffea arabica (coffee)
Lineage: Eukaryota; Viridiplantae; Streptophyta; Magnoliopsida; Gentianales; Rubiaceae
Source: RefSeq, a predicted model, not a curated record